RNAcentral lists this ribosomal RNA (306 nucleotides) under uncultured bacterium. Its description in RNAcentral is "partial 16S ribosomal RNA". It matches the Rfam family "Bacterial small subunit ribosomal RNA", at positions 507 to 807 of the family's 1533-position model. The record is from RNAcentral.
GACAGCAGCCGCCGCGGGAAUACAGAGGGUGCGAGCGUUAAUCGGAUUUACUGGGCGUAAAGCGUGCGUAGGCGGCUUUUUAAGUCGGAUGUGAAAUCCCUGAGCUUAACUUAGGAAUUGCAUUCGAUACUGGGAAGCUAGAGUAUGGGAGAGGAUGGUAGAAUUCCAGGUGUAGCGGUGAAAUGCGUAGAGAUCUGGAGGAAUACCGAUGGCGAAGGCAGCCAUCUGGCCUAAUACUGACGCUGAGGUACGAAAGCAUGGGGAGCAAACAGGAUUAGAUACCCCCGUAGUCCCUGUCUCUUAUAC